RNAcentral lists this transfer RNA (71 nucleotides) under Loxodonta africana (African savanna elephant). It matches the Rfam family "tRNA". From Rfam's summary of the family: Transfer RNA (tRNA) molecules are approximately 80 nucleotides in length. Lineage: Eukaryota; Metazoa; Chordata; Mammalia; Proboscidea; Elephantidae. The record is from Rfam by way of RNAcentral.
UCAUUGGUAGUUCAGUGGUAGAAUUCUUGCUUCCCAUGUGGGAGACCUGGGUUUGACUCCUGGCCAAGGCA